UUUUUUUUUCCCUGGCUUAUUAUUAAUUAUUAAUUAUUAUUAUUUUUUUUUUAUUAUUAUUAUUAUUUCUAAAAUCUCCCUGCGUUUUUUUUUAGGAACUGAUCGUCGAGAUGUGAUUAACAAAAAUAAUUCAACCUUCUCCCAAUAACUUACAGGAGUUCACCCAGGGGGAACUUUUUUGUGCUUAUUUUUGUUUUUUUGGGGUCAAGCUCUCUGACCCCAAAAAACCCCAGGGGGGGUUUUGGGGGGGACCCUCAGCCCCCUCCUGCCUGUACAACUUUGGUCACUAGCGCUGUGUCACCCCAAAAUCCAGACCCCAAAAUCCAGGCCUCAAAAUCAGACCCCAAAAUCCAAACCUCAAAGUCCAGACCCCAAAAUCCAGAUCCCAAAAUCAGACCCCAAAAUCAGACCCCAAAACCCUGACCCCAAAAUCAGAACCCAAAAUCCAAACCCCAAAUCCUGACCCCAAAAUCCCCGGGCCAGCGGGGACAGGGCUGGGAUUUCUCCAGGAAACCCCAAAACCACCGGAGUGGGCUCGGGAUUCCCGUGCCAGGAUAUCCCAAAAUGGGGCAGGAGACCCCAAAGGGCCGAGGAGACCCCAAAAGUUUGGAAUUCCCGUCCCAAAAUGGGGCUGGAGACCCCAAAAGUUUGGAAUUCCUGUCCCAAAAUGGGGCUGGAGAUCCCAAAGAGAUGGAAUUCCCAUUCCAGGGAUGCCAAAGUUUUGGGGUGUCCAUCGUGAGGGUCCUGGCAGGGUUGGGGGGCCCAUUGUGGGAUUCCUGGAAGGGUUGGAGUUCCUGGAAGGAUUGGGAUGGACCCUGGAAGGGUUGGGAUGUCCAUCCUGAGGGUCCUGGAAGGAUUUGGAUUGGGAUGUCCAUCCCAGAUUUCCCGGCAGGGUUGGGAUUUCCAUCCCAGAUUUCCUGGCAGGGUUGGGAUUUCUAUCCCAGAUUUCCAUCCCAGAUUUCCCGUCAGGAUUGGGAUUUCCAUCCCAGAUUUCCAUCCCAGAUUUCCCGUCAGGAUUGGGAUUUCCAUCCCAGAUUUCCAUCCCAGAUUUCCCGUCAGGGUUGGGAUUUCCAUCCCAUAUUUCCAUCCCAGAUUUCCCGUCAGGAUUGGGAUUUCCAUCCCAGAUUUCCAUCCCAGAUUUCCCGUCAGGGCUGGAAUUUCCAUCCCAGAUUUCCAUCCCAGAUUUCCCGUCAGGGCCGGAAUUCCCACCCCGAGGGUCCCCGCGGCGGCACGCCGAGACCCGAAGCUCCCUGAGGCGCCGGCGGUGCCGGCGGUGCCGCGUCCAU
RNAcentral lists this long non-coding RNA (1286 nucleotides) under Lonchura striata (white-rumped munia). RNAcentral's name for it is "domestica (Bengalese finch) lncRNA (ENSLSDG00000007594.1)". The record is from RNAcentral. Lineage: Eukaryota; Metazoa; Chordata; Aves; Passeriformes; Estrildidae.